UGUAAGCGUAUACCAAAGUUGUUGCAGUUAAAACGCUCGUAGUCGGAAUUUGGCAGUUCCGGAUGUGUGCACGUCGUGUGCGCACUUCGCGGGGAUUGCUUUUGUGGUCUUGCGUAGGAUGAGGCACUUUUAUUAGUGAACGUCCCCACGCAACCACUUUUUACUGUGAGAAAAUCAGAGUGCUCAAAGCAGGCAUUUGCCGUGAAUGUAUUAGCAUGGAAUAAUAGAAUAGGACUUGGUUCUAUUUUGUUGGUUUGUUGGGACUGAGUAAUGAUUAAGAGGGACAGUUGGGGGCAUUUGUAUUUCGGUGCUAGAGGUGAAAUUCUUAGAUUACCGAAAGACAAACUGCUGCGAAAGCGUCUGCCAAGGAUGUUUUCAUUGA
RNAcentral lists this ribosomal RNA (382 nucleotides) under uncultured eukaryote. RNAcentral's name for it is "partial 18S ribosomal RNA". It matches the Rfam family "Eukaryotic small subunit ribosomal RNA", at positions 592 to 976 of the family's 1831-position model. The record is from RNAcentral.